UUGCACGCUGGCGGCAGGCCUCACCCAUGCAAGUCGCGCGGAUGAAGAGAGCUUGCUCCUGGAUUCAGCGGCGGACGGGUGAGUAAUGCCUAGGAAUCUGCCUGGUAGUGGGGGAUAACGUCCGGAAACGGGCGCUAAUACCGCAUACGUCCUGAGGGAGAAAGUGGGGGAUCUUCGGACCUCACGCUAUCAGAUGAGCCUAGGUCGGAUUAGCUAGUUGGUGGGGUAAAGGCCUACCAAGGCGACGAUCCGUAACUGGUCUGAGAGGAUGAUCAGUCACACUGGAACUGAGACACGGUCCAGACUCCUACGGGAGGCAGCAGUGGGGAAUAUUGGACAAUGGGCGAAAGCCUGAUCCAGCCAUGCCGCGUGUGUGAAGAAGGUCUUCGGAUUGUAAAGCACUUUAAGUUGGGAGGAAGGGCAGUAAGUUAAUACCUUGCUGUUUUGACGUUACCAACAGAAUAAGCACCGGCUAACUUCGUG
This 483-nucleotide ribosomal RNA is filed under the name uncultured bacterium. RNAcentral describes it as "partial 16S ribosomal RNA". It matches the Rfam family "Bacterial small subunit ribosomal RNA", at positions 30 to 507 of the family's 1533-position model. The record is from RNAcentral.